GCGGCGGAUGGGUGAGUAUCACGUGGGCAACCUGCCUGUAAGAUUGGGAUAACUCGCGGAAACGUGAGCUAAUACCGAAUGAAGUCUUUCACCGCCUGGUGAAAGGAUGAAAGAUGGCUCUUGAGCUAUCACUUACAGAUGGGCCCGCGGCGCAUUAGCUAGUUGGUGGGGUAAAGGCCUACCAAGGCGACGAUGCGUAGCCGACCUGAGAGGGUGAUCGGCCACACUGGGACUGAGACACGGCCCAGACUCCUACGGGAGGCAGCAGUAGGGAAUCUUCCGCAAUGGACGAAAGUCUGACGGAGCAACGCCGCGUGAGUGAUGAAGGUCUUCGGAUCGUAAAACUCUGUUGUCAGGGAAGAACAAGUUGUGUUCUAACAGGACAUGACCUUGACGGUACCUGACCAGAAAGCCCCGGCUAACUACGUGCCAGCAGCCGCGGUAAUACGUAGGGGGCAAGCGUUGUCCGGAAUUAUUGGGCGUAAAGCGCGCGCAGGCGGUCCUUUAAGUCUGAUGUGAAAGCCCACG
Molecule: ribosomal RNA, 528 nt
Filed under: uncultured bacterium
Lineage: Bacteria
Description: bacterial SSU rRNA
Rfam family: Bacterial small subunit ribosomal RNA
Source: RNAcentral